Molecule: ribosomal RNA, 1240 nt
Filed under: Lactiplantibacillus plantarum
Lineage: Bacteria; Bacillati; Bacillota; Bacilli; Lactobacillales; Lactobacillaceae
Description: bacterial SSU rRNA
Rfam family: Bacterial small subunit ribosomal RNA
Source: RNAcentral
AACCUGCCCAUAAGCGGGGGAUAACACCUGGAAACAGAUGCUAAUACCGCAUAACAACUUGGACCGCAUGGUCCGAGUUUGAAAGAUGGCUUCGGCUAUCACUUUUGGAUGGUCCCGCGGCGUAUUAGCUAGAUGGUGGGGUAACGGCUCACCAUGGCAAUGAUACGUAGCCGACCUGAGAGGGUAAUCGGCCACAUUGGGACUGAGACACGGCCCAAACUCCUACGGGAGGCAGCAGUAGGGAAUCUUCCACAAUGGACGAAAGUCUGAUGGAGCAACGCCGCGUGAGUGAAGAAGGGUUUCGGCUCGUAAAACUCUGUUGUUAAAGAAGAACAUAUCUGAGAGUAACUGUUCAGGUAUUGACGGUAUUUAACCAGAAAGCCACGGCUAACUACGUGCCAGCAGCCGCGGUAAUACGUAGGUGGCAAGCGUUGUCCGGAUUUAUUGGGCGUAAAGCGAGCGCAGGCGGUUUUUUAAGUCUGAUGUGAAAGCCUUCGGCUCAACCGAAGAAGUGCAUCGGAAACUGGGAAACUUGAGUGCAGAAGAGGACAGUGGAACUCCAUGUGUAGCGGUGAAAUGCGUAGAUAUAUGGAAGAACACCAGUGGCGAAGGCGGCUGUCUGGUCUGUAACUGACGCUGAGGCUCGAAAGUAUGGGUAGCAAACAGGAUUAGAUACCCUGGUAGUCCAUACCGUAAACGAUGAAUGCUAAGUGUUGGAGGGUUUCCGCCCUUCAGUGCUGCAGCUAACGCAUUAAGCAUUCCGCCUGGGGAGUACGGCCGCAAGGCUGAAACUCAAAGGAAUUGACGGGGGCCCGCACAAGCGGUGGAGCAUGUGGUUUAAUUCGAAGCUACGCGAAGAACCUUACCAGGUCUUGACAUACUAUGCAAAUCUAAGAGAUUAGACGUUCCCUUCGGGGACAUGGAUACAGGUGGUGCAUGGUUGUCGUCAGCUCGUGUCGUGAGAUGUUGGGUUAAGUCCCGCAACGAGCGCAACCCUUAUUAUCAGUUGCCAGCAUUAAGUUGGGCACUCUGGUGAGACUGCCGGUGACAAACCGGAGGAAGGUGGGGAUGACGUCAAAUCAUCAUGCCCCUUAUGACCUGGGCUACACACGUGCUACAAUGGAUGGUACAACGAGUUGCGAACUCGCGAGAGUAAGCUAAUCUCUUAAAGCCAUUCUCAGUUCGGAUUGUAGGCUGCAACUCGCCUACAUGAAGUCGGAAUCGCUAGUAAUCGCGGAUC